GCAGUUUUCCGUUUUUUUCGGAAAGGGCAGUUUUGUUUUUUUGUAUAGAAGCGAGCACCUCUGCCUCUCCCGAUACCGAGUACGCCGGGCUUUGCUGGGCCCGGAAGGAAGUCUUUGAAGAGUAGUUUUCAGUGCUCCUACAGAUUGCAUUUUGUUUUUGCUAAGAAACUCCGAAGUGACCUGUAGCAACCCGUGGCUGAUGCAAGAGAACGACAAAGAUUGAGUCCUCAUUUGGGUGGGAAACCUUCAGUUGAAAAGGAUCCAGGGCACUUAAAAUCCUGGUAAAAUGGACAGGAUUCAUUUGACAAAGGAGUCUUUAAUGUCCUAUCCAGCUGCCAAAACAACAGCAACGUGGAACCAAACCCAUGAAUUCAAGGGAUGAAAGCGUGAGCUGACUCGAGAUGUGCUGCCCGCUUCUUGGUUAAACAUACUCACUGUGAGGUCUGACAGCCUGACUUUGAAUCCGGGCCUUCCUCCAUCACAAGCCUAAGUAAGUCCCCUUAUGCUGGGCUGCACCCAGCAGGCCUGCAAGCACUGUACUUGCCCAGCCUCAAGACCGAAGGAAGAGACCAGAGU
Molecule: long non-coding RNA, 576 nt
Organism: Mesoplodon densirostris (Blainville's beaked whale)
Lineage: Eukaryota; Metazoa; Chordata; Mammalia; Artiodactyla; Ziphiidae
Exons: 3
Source: RefSeq, a predicted model, not a curated record